This is an RNA transcript of Lathyrus oleraceus (garden pea), 374 nucleotides long. It is a transcript of the gene named defensin-like protein 156, with no coding region annotated. The record is from RefSeq and is a predicted model, not a curated record. The transcript is spliced from 2 exons. Lineage: Eukaryota; Viridiplantae; Streptophyta; Magnoliopsida; Fabales; Fabaceae.
UAACAAGAAUGAACCUUAUUUUGCUUUUGAUAUUCAAGCUAUAUUUGAGAUGGCUAAGUUUUCUUUCAUGACAAUUAUCGUCAUUGUCUUCUUUAUUUCAGCAAUGACAAAUGCUAGAAACAUAUGGUCAAAAGAAUGUGUCAUCACUCGUGAUGGUCAAUGCCUCCCGACAACUUGCAAAGAAUGGUGUUUAAAUACAUAUAAGGGUCAUGGAGCAUGCGUUGCUACCGUUGGAAAUCCUCCUACUUAUAAAUGUGUUUGCACAUACUAUUGUUCCACCUAGAAUAAAAAUGUUUAGCUUUAUUUUAAAUGUAAAACUGUAUUACAAUAAAUGGAUAAUCUCGAGAUAAAUACAAUUGCAAAAUUUUAUUUAA